AGUGAACGCUGGCGGUAGGCCUAAUACAUGCAAGUCGAACGGCAGCACAGUAAGCGCUUGCCCCUACGGGUGGCGAGUGGCGGACGGGUGAGGCAUACAUCGGAAUCUACUUUUUCGUGGGGGAUAACGUAGGGAAACUUACGCUACUACCGCAUACGACCUACGGGUGAAAGCAGGGGAUCUUCGGACCUUUCGCGAUUGAUUGAGCCGAUGUCGGAUUAGCUAGUUGGCGGGGUAAAGGCACACCAAGGCGACGAUACGUAGCUGGUCUGAGAGGAUGAUCAGCCACACUGGAACUGAGACACGGUCCAGACUCCUACGGGAGGCAGCAGUGGGGAAUAUUGGACAAUGGGCGCAAGCCUGAUCCAGCCAUACCGCGUGAGUGAAGAAGGCCUUCGGGUUGUAAAGCCCUUUUGUUGGGAAAGAAAAGCAGCGGAUUAAAACCCCGCUGUUCUGACGGUACCCAAAGAAUAAGCACCGGCUAACUUCGUG
This 492-nucleotide ribosomal RNA is filed under the name uncultured bacterium. RNAcentral describes it as "partial 16S ribosomal RNA". It matches the Rfam family "Bacterial small subunit ribosomal RNA", at positions 29 to 507 of the family's 1533-position model. The record is from RNAcentral.